UUUUGAGCAAAAUUUACGUCCACAAGUCUUUCACAGUUACCGAUCUCUAAUGGGAUUGAUCCAUUCAAUGAAUUUACUUCCAGGUGGAACGAUGAAAGUUGCCUCAGGAAACCAAUUUCAGAAGGUAUUUCUCCAUUGAACUCGUUAUUACUCAAAUAGAGCCUCUCUAAAUUUGUCAACUUGCCAAGCUCUGAUGGAAGGUUACCUGAAAACUUAUUGUUUGGCAAAACCAACUGGCUCAAGCUGGUAGAUAAACCAAUGUUUGGGGAUAUAAUUCCAAUGAAUUCAUUAUCACUAAAGUCAAUCAUUUUUGCAUUAGGAAGAGCCCAUACACCAUCUGGAAUGCUGCCAGACAUUUGAUUAUUAUUAAUUCUGAAUCUUUGCAGUGAUUUGCACUCAGCUAAAGCAAAUGGCAGCUCACCAGAAAAUCUAUUUUCCAGAGCAAGUAAGAACUCCAACUUCCUAUUCUCACACAAGAACUGAGGAAAGCUCCCUGAAAAUUGGUUCUCAGAUAUGUCAAUACUGCUGAGCGG
This 533-nucleotide long non-coding RNA is filed under the name Cucumis sativus (cucumber). RNAcentral's name for it is "long non-coding RNA (CSAT_LNC002203)". Lineage: Eukaryota; Viridiplantae; Streptophyta; Magnoliopsida; Cucurbitales; Cucurbitaceae. The record is from RNAcentral.